RNAcentral lists this long non-coding RNA (1119 nucleotides) under Sus scrofa (pig). RNAcentral's name for it is "lncRNA (ENSSSCG00005038851.1)". The record is from RNAcentral. Lineage: Eukaryota; Metazoa; Chordata; Mammalia; Artiodactyla; Suidae.
GGUGCUAACUUGGAAGCUUGAGCAGAGGGGAUGGUAGGGCCGAUGAACUGGGGGGAUUGAUAAUGAAACAGGAAGGCUUUCCUCACCAAAUGCCCAGCUGGUGCCUGGAAGCUGAUCGGGAUCCAGAGCCUAGUUCACAGAUUAGAGGACCCUGCAGUGAGUUGGCAGUCUCCGCGGGCGGGGCCGUUGAACAGGGGUUUGCCCUCUGGAUGGUCUGAAGGAAGAUGUUAAUUACGAAAGAACAUCCGGUUCUUGGCAUUCUGUGUAGAAGAAAUCAAUGAUUUUGAAGACCCUAAAGAGAAUCACUGAUUUUGCGGAGGCUUAAUAAAAAGUCAACAAUCAAACAAAAGCCUUUUCCCCUCUGAAUCAUUAUAUGCUGUUGUUCCUGAACAUCUGGGCGGAGGGGAGGUCUGCCUUCACGUGGGCCUCCUCAAAGUACUGCUUCUCGGGCUGUAGCUGUGUCUCUGUUUAUGCCUCAUUUGGAACUGAAGCCAUCAUUCCAAGAUUCUCUUUCUGGAGCUGCCACUAACUAUGUGGGUGAAUUAUUUUCCAACUUUGAACUUCAGUUUUCAAAAUGGAACAAGUCAGGCGAGACUUGCUGUAAUUGAUGAAAGUCGAUGAAAAUACCACUCAGAUUUAGGGCUUAAUCGUAUACUCUUCUGUUGUUUCCUGGGUAUCCAUCUCGUCUUGACAGCCAGCUCUUCAAGCAGGGGGACAGUGUCACACUCCAUGGGAAAGAGCAUAAAAUGUAGAAGCAGAAGCCGUGGGUUCAGGCCCCAGCUCUGUGACCUGGCAGCUCACGUCGCCUUUGGUGAGUCAGUGAACCUCUGCCACGCAUGCUCUCCUCCACUGUAAAACUAGCUGACGGACCCAAAACACAGGGUAAUUUUGAGGACUAAGGGAAAUAAUCAUUAACACAGCACUUGAUAAAUUUUAAAAAAGGAUGUUCAUUAUGGUUAUUUGUGUUGCCCCAGAGCCCUGCCAUGUGCAACGUUAAAUAAGUUUUGUUGAAUGCUGUCUAAGAACAAAGCUCAGACUUUUGCCUUUACUGAUUUUAAAAUCACUGAAGAAGAGUAUUGUUGGUAUAUAAUUGAAACUGAUUUCAUUUCCAAUGCAAAA